RNAcentral lists this ribosomal RNA (1122 nucleotides) under uncultured organism. RNAcentral describes it as "bacterial SSU rRNA". It matches the Rfam family "Bacterial small subunit ribosomal RNA", at positions 214 to 1322 of the family's 1533-position model. The record is from RNAcentral.
GCCGCUUGGAGAGGAGCCCGCGUCCGAUUAGCUAGUUGGUGAGGUAACGGCCCACCAAGGCAACGAUCGGUAGCCGGCCUGAGAGGGUGACCGGCCACACUGGGACUGAGAUACUGCCCAGACUCCUACGGGAGGCUGCAGUCGAGGAUCAUUUGCAAUGCGCGAAAGCGUGACAAUGCGACGCUGCGUGGAGGACGACAGCCCUAGGGUUGUAAACUCCUGUCAUGUGGGAACAAUUCCGAACGGUUAAUAACCGGCUCGGUUGAUGGUACCACAAGAGGAAGCGACGGCUAACUUCGUGCCAGCAGCCGCGGUAAUACGAAGGUCGCUAGCGUUGUUCGGAUUUACUGGGCGUAAAGGGUGCGCAGGUGGUGCCGUGUGUCGGACGUGAAAUCCCGGGGCUCAACCCCGGAACUGCGUCCGAAACUGCGACACUAGAGUCCAUGAGAGGAGAGCGGAAUUCAAGGUGUAGCGGUGAAAUGCGUUGAUAUCUUGAAGAACACCGGUGGCGAAGGCGGCUCUCUGGAAUGCGACUGACACUGAGGCACGAAAGCGUGGGAAGCAAACAGGAUUAGAUACCCUGGUAGUCCACGCCGUAAACGUUGUGUACUUGGCGUGGGGGGAAUUAACCCCCUCCGUGCCGGAGCUAACGCGUUAAGUACACCGCCUGGGGAGUACGGCCGCAAGGUUAAAACUCAAAGAAAUUGACGGGGGCCCGCACAAGCGGAGGAGCAUGUGGCUUAAUUCGAUGCAACGCGAAGAACCUUACCAGGGUUUGACAUGCAGCUGCACGCCUCCCGAAAGGGAGGAAGCUUUCGAAGGUGCUGCACAGGUGCUGCAUGGCUGUCGUCAGUUCGUGCCGUGAGGUGUUUGGUUAAGUCCAGCAACGAACGCAACCCCUAUGUUUAGUUGCCACCGGUGGUGAUGAGCCACCGAGCACUCUAGACAGACUGCCCGUACAAGCGGGAGGAAGGUGGGGAUGACGUCAAGUCAGUAUGGCCCUUACACCCUGGGCUGCACACGUGCUACAAUGGUCGGUACAGUGGGAUGCAAUACCGCGAGGUGGAGCAAAUCCUCAAAACCGGUCCCAGUUCGGAUUGGAGUCUGAAAUUCGACUCCAUG